This 462-nucleotide ribosomal RNA is filed under the name uncultured bacterium. RNAcentral's name for it is "partial 16S ribosomal RNA". It matches the Rfam family "Bacterial small subunit ribosomal RNA", at positions 338 to 795 of the family's 1533-position model. The record is from RNAcentral.
CCUACGGGAGGCUGCAGUGAGGAAUAUUGGUCAAUGGGCGCAAGCCUGAACCAGCCAAGUCGCGUGAGGGAAGACUGCCCUAUGGGUUGUAAACCUCUUUUGUCAGGGAGCAACGCCGGCUACGUGUAGCCGGACUGAGAGUCCCUGAAGAAAAAGCAUCGGCUAACUCCGUGCCAGCAGCCGCGGUAAUACGGAGGAUGCGAGCGUUAUCCGGAUUUAUGGGGUUUAAAGGGUGCGUAGGCUGUGAUGUAAGUCAGCGGGUAAAUGUCCCCGAUCAACGGGGUGAAGUGCCAUUGAUACUGCCUUGCUGGAAUGCGGAUGCGGUGGGAGGAAUGUGUGGUGUAGCGGUGAAAUGCAUAGAUAUCACACAGAACACCGAUUGCGAAGGCAUCUUACGAAUCCGCGAUUGACGCUGAUGCACGAAAGCGUGGGUAUCAAACAGGAUUAGAUACCCCUGUAGUC